This 64-nucleotide transfer RNA is filed under the name Sternolophus sp. STE01. Its description in RNAcentral is "tRNA-Cys". Lineage: Eukaryota; Metazoa; Arthropoda; Insecta; Coleoptera; Hydrophilidae. The record is from RNAcentral.
GGUCUUAUAGUCACGUAUGAUUUUAAAUUGCAAAUUUAAAGGUAGAGGAUUCCUCUUAAGGCUU